AUUGAACGCUGGCGGCAGGCCUAACACAUGCAAGUCGAGCGGAUGAAGGGAGCUUGCUCCUGGAUUCAGCGGCGGACGGGUGAGUAAUGCCUAGGAAUCUGCCUGGUAGUGGGGGAUAACGUCCGGAAACGGGCGCUAAUACCGCAUACGUCCUGAGGGAGAAAGUGGGGGAUCUUCGGACCUCACGCUAUCAGAUGAGCCUAGGUCGGAUUAGCUAGUUGGUGGGGUAAAGGCCUACCAAGGCGACGAUCCGUAACUGGUCUGAGAGGAUGAUCAGUCACACUGGAACUGAGACACAGUCCAGACUCCUACGGGAGGCAGCAGUGGGGAAUAUUGGACAAUGGGCGAAAGCCUGAUCCAGCCAUGCCGCGUGUGUGAAGAAGGUCUUCGGAUUGUAAAGCACUUUAAGUUGGGAGGAAGGGCAGUAAGUUAAUACCUUGCUGUUUUGACGUGACCAACAGAAUAAGCACCGGCUAACUUCG
Molecule: ribosomal RNA, 482 nt
Filed under: uncultured bacterium
Lineage: Bacteria
Description: partial 16S ribosomal RNA
Rfam family: Bacterial small subunit ribosomal RNA
Source: RNAcentral